This is a long non-coding RNA of Fundulus heteroclitus (mummichog), 444 nucleotides long. RefSeq lists it as uncharacterized. The record is from RefSeq and is a predicted model, not a curated record. The transcript has 3 exons. Lineage: Eukaryota; Metazoa; Chordata; Actinopteri; Cyprinodontiformes; Fundulidae.
AGCAACCAGAGCUCCUAAUGAUCUAUAUUCUAGGAAGACAUCAGCAAAGAGAAGAUGAACCUUGAAGUGGAGACUAGUACCGGCAGGCUGGAGCUUCAGAACCAGAAUAGCCCAACAGAACCGCGCAACACACGCUGGACAUCUGAGGAUGGCUGCAGCUAACAUCUCCCUAAAAUAGAAAUGCAAACAUGCGUUUCUAUUCUAUCCCAGUGUCUCCUGGACCCAGAUCCCAACAGAACCAGGGAUCUGUUCAGAACCGGCCCUCCAGGCUCUGAGGCUGGAAGGGGGGGCGCAGCGCUGACGCAGUGUGAGUCGCGCUAACAGCAGCUAGCGUGUUAGCUAUGUAGACCGUUGAUGUCGCUCUCUAACAUCGAUACAUUUAAACCAAACGAUGCUCAGCCUGACGGUCCACUGGGUGGAGUCUGCCUCGUCUGAUGUGCCGUC